GGCGAGUGUAGAGGGACGAGCCCAAGAUUGAAAGCUGGCGUCUUCGGCGUCCGCAUUGUAAUCUCAAGAAGUGUUUUCCGCUUCGGACCAUGCCUAAGUCCCUUGGAAAAGGGCAUCAUAGAGGGUGAUAAUCCCGUACAUGGCAUGGAGCGCCCGAGGCUUUGUGAUACGCUUUCUAAGAGUCGAGUUGUUUGGGAAUGCAGCUCAAAAUGGGUGGUAAAUGCCAUCUAAGGCUAAAUAUUGGGGAGAGACCGAUAGCGAACAAGUACAGUGAUGGAAAGAUGAAAAGAACUUUGAAAAGAGAGUUAAACAGUACGUGAAAUUGCCAAAAGGGAAGGGUAGGAGGUCAGAGAUGCGUCUUGGGAUUCAGCCUUGCUUUUGCUUGGUGUUUUUCCCAAGUUGCAGGCCAACGUCGGUUUUGGGCACUGGAGAAGGGUGGAAGGAACGUGGCACCUCUCGGGGUGUGUUAUAGCCUUCUACUGGAUACAGCGACC
Molecule: ribosomal RNA, 494 nt
Filed under: Anthracocystis elionuri
Lineage: Eukaryota; Fungi; Basidiomycota; Ustilaginomycetes; Ustilaginales; Ustilaginaceae
Description: LSU rRNA
Rfam family: Eukaryotic large subunit ribosomal RNA
Source: RNAcentral